UGACAUGAGUAACGAUAAAGGGGGUGAAAAACCUCCUCGCCGGAAGACCAAGGGUUCCUGUCCAACGUUAAUCGGGGCAGGGUAAGUCGACCCCUAAGGCGAGGCCGAAAGGCGUAGUCGAUGGGAAACGGGUUAAUAUUCCCGUACUUCUUACAAUUGCGAUGGGGGGACGGAGAAGGCUAGGUGGGCCUGGCGACGGUUGUCCAGGUUCAAGUGCGUAGGCUUAAGAGUUAGGUAAAUCCGGCUCUCUUUAAGGCUGAGACACGACGUCGAGCACCUACGGGUGUGAAGUCAUUGAUGCCAUGCUUCCAGGAAAAGCCUCUAAGCUUCAGAUUGUAAGGAAUCGUACCCCAAACCGACACAGGUGGUCGGGUAGAGAAUACCAAGGCGCUUGAGAGAACUCGGGUGAAGGAACUAGGCAAAAUGGUACCGUAACUUCGGGAGAAGGUACGCUCUUGAUGGUGAAGUCCCUUGCGGAUGGAGCUGACGAGAGUCGCAGAUACCAGGUGGCUGCAACUGUUUAUUAAAAACACAGCA
This 537-nucleotide ribosomal RNA is filed under the name Vibrio parahaemolyticus. RNAcentral describes it as "partial 23S ribosomal RNA". It matches the Rfam family "Bacterial large subunit ribosomal RNA", at positions 1298 to 1820 of the family's 2925-position model. Lineage: Bacteria; Pseudomonadati; Pseudomonadota; Gammaproteobacteria; Vibrionales; Vibrionaceae. The record is from RNAcentral.